RNAcentral lists this ribosomal RNA (437 nucleotides) under uncultured bacterium. RNAcentral's name for it is "bacterial SSU rRNA". It matches the Rfam family "Bacterial small subunit ribosomal RNA", at positions 355 to 786 of the family's 1533-position model. The record is from RNAcentral.
UGAGGAAUAUUGGUCAAUGGUCGCUAGACUGAACCAGCCAAGUAGCGUGCGGGAUGAAGGCCCUCCGGGUCGUAAACCGCUUUUAGACGGGGAUAAAAGGGGCGUACGUGUACGCCGUAUUGCAUGUACCGUCAGAAAAACGGACCGGCUAAUUCCGUGCCAGCAGCCGCGGUAAUACGGAAGGUCCGGGCGUUAUCCGGAUUUAUUGGGUUUAAAGGGAGCGUAGGCGGACUUUCAAGUCAGUGGUAAAAUCGUGUGGCUCAACCAUACCUCGCCAUUGAAACUGGAAGUCUGGAGUGCACACAGGGGUGCCGGAAUUCAUGGUGUAGCGGUGAAAUGCUUAGAUAUCAUGAAGAACUCCGAUCGCGAAGGCAAGUGCCCGGGGUGCAACUGACGCUGAGGCCCGAAGGUGCGGGUAUCGAACAGGAUUAGAUACC